RNAcentral lists this unclassified non-coding RNA (1640 nucleotides) under Pomacea canaliculata. RNAcentral describes it as "gTPase IMAP family member 1-like, transcript variant X1". The record is from RNAcentral. Lineage: Eukaryota; Metazoa; Mollusca; Gastropoda; Architaenioglossa; Ampullariidae.
GUCUGUUUCCUUGCGACUGCGUGAGUUCGGGAAUAUUCUCUGACAAAGGUUAGUCACAUCAGCGCCGCUGUUUACACAACAACAUCCAGUUAACCCUACUUAUCCGCUAACAGCCCAGGAAAUUAAUCAGCUCGUCUCGAGGGGAUAAUUUAGAAAACGUGGAUGUAACAACGAUGGACAUAUCUCUUCAAAGAGACAGUGACAGCGAAUCUGAAUUCGAGGUGAUCCCAAGACGCCUAGUAAUAAUCGGGAAAACUGGAAAUGGAAAGAGCAGUCUUGGAAACAUCUUUCUUGGUCGUCAUGACAACCUGUUUGAGAUCGGCAAAGGAAUGAGCAGCACGACUGUAAAACUUUGCACGGGGGACAGCGAAGAGCGAGACUUUACAAUCUUCGACACUCCAGACCUGGUUAACUGCGAAAUGUCCGAUGCUGAUGCCAAAAAGGCAAGUGGAGGAGUGGAGAACAUCACCAGAAACUUCAGUUGCAGUGGUUGUCGCCAUUCGCUGUGACGUCCGUUACACCGCCGAGGAGUACGCCAUCUACACAAAGAUCAAAGACCUCUGGGGAGAAGGCUUCUGCAACAACCUGGUGAUUGCCUUCACUUUUAAGGACAGACUAGACCAUGACGAGAAAGAGUUCGAACUAGAGUUAAAGACAGUGUGCCAGGAACUACAGAACGUGCUGGAGGAUGCCCGUCGCCGGUAUGUUCUCUUCGACUGCUCGCCAGGGAGGUAUGUUGAGGAGAUGCACAAAGAUACAUUCAACAAACUUGCGGAGUGCUUCAGCAGGGAUAAUACGCAGUCUGGGAGUUAUUUGUCCUGGGUUCCUGCUGUCGUCACCAAGGUUAUAAAUCCAUGCGUUUCCUUUCUGAAAAGUCUCUUCCAAUAGAAGAAGGAAGGUUUUUGAACGAGAAAUAAACACUUUCAUGUUGUGAACAUUGAUCUUUCAUAAUAACCAACGAAGGAGAUGAUUUUAUGACAUAUACAAUAAUAAAACAAAUUUCGCGAUUGUAUAAAUAAAUGCUUGAUGCAUUAUACUUUUUUUUUAAAUGUGAUUUUCUUUGUAAACAAUGUUAGCUCUACUAAAUGUGUAUCUGUCUGCGAAAUGGUCUAGCACUCUAGCUGAAUGUACAUUAUAUUUCCUUUACUUGUCAGAAAAAUAUAAAAGAGUGUUUUGUAUGUUCGGAUAAACAUGUGCGAAAAUACAAAUUAACUGCUUAGGUUUUAUGACAGCGCAAUUUCUAUAUCACAGUUGAAAUAUGUUACGACUUUUUUUGUGUUCUAAGUUGGUACUCACAUGUUACAUCGUUUGGAAGCAUAGGUCACUUUAAACAUUUUAUAGAUUGUUAAUUUAUAUAUCAAUUUAAAAUGAUUCAGAACCUCUGACGAAUAAUCUUUUGUUACACAUUUACAAGAAAUAUUCGUUUUAAAAGAAUUUAAUAAAUGAAUAUGAUGAAAACUAUUUACUUUGAAAAUCCCUCAUUUGCUAUUUUUACUAUUUCAUUGUAAAACUAAUGAUUAUAAAGUUAAAUGUUUCUCACUUUUUGUCCUUGUUAUGCUUUACUGUGAUUUGAAGUAGAUAUAAUUUUUUCCCUGCUUUUCUUUUUCUGAGUCAGCACAAAUAAAACAGCUCUUAAAUAC